Molecule: RNA transcript, 1649 nt
Organism: Ochotona curzoniae (black-lipped pika)
Lineage: Eukaryota; Metazoa; Chordata; Mammalia; Lagomorpha; Ochotonidae
Gene: RPP30
Gene name: ribonuclease P/MRP subunit p30
Exons: 12
Source: RefSeq, a predicted model, not a curated record
CCCGCGGACCCCUUAAAUCCAGGGUCAAUGCGCGGGAGGUAAACUACGAUCGAGCCCGGAAAUAAACUACAACUCCCGGCAUGCCCGAGGGGGCGGGCGCGGCGGCUGCGCAGACGGGCGCGCAGGCGGUCACGAGACUACAGCAUGGCGGUGUUUGCAGACUUGGACCUGCGAGCUACUGGGGACCUCAAGUCCCUCCGAGGACUGGUGGAGACCGCCGCUCACCUUGGCUAUUCGGUGGUUGCCAUCAAUCAUGUGGUGGACUUUAAGGAAAAGAAACAGGAAAUUGACAAGCCAAUAGCCGUCUCUGAACUCUUCACAACAUUACCAAUUGUACAGGGAAAAUCAAGACCAAUUAAAAUUUUGACAAGAAUAACAAUCGUCGUUUCAGAUCCAUCUCACUGUAAUGUUUUGAGAGCAACUUCUUCAAGGGUUCGGCUGUAUGAUAUUGUUGCUGUUUUUCCAAAGACUGAGAAACUUUUUCAUGUGGCUUGCACACAUUUGGAUGUGGAUUUGGUCUGCAUCACUGUGGCAGAGAAACUACCAUUUUACUUCAAAAGACCCCCUAUUAAUGUGGCGAUUGACCGAGGCCUGGCCUUUGAGCUUGUCUAUGGCCCUGCUAUCAAAGACUCCACAAUAAGAAGGUACACGAUUUCCAAUGCACUCAAUCUGAUGCAGAUCUGCAAAGGAAAGAAUGUAAUUAUAUCCAGUGCUGCUGAAAGGCCUUUAGAAAUAAGAGGACCAUAUGACAUAGCAAAUUUAGGGUUGCUGUUUGGACUCUCUGAAAGUGAUGGCAAGGCUGCUGUGUCCACCAACUGCCGAGCAGUGCUUCUCCAUGGAGAAACCAGAAAAACUGCUUUUGGAAUCAUUUCCACGGUGAAAAAACCUCGGGCAGCAGAAGAGGAGGAAGAUUCUCUCCCAGCAUGCAAGAAGGCUAAGUGUGAGGGCUCACAAGCAAGCCCGAGCCUCCUCAAGUGCAUCACCCCCACCCCUUUUCUAGCUAAUCAGCCUCAACAAAAAUAAAACUGUUUUAGUCAUUUACAAUUUUUAUUUGAAGCUGAAAAUCAAUAGCUUAUAAAAAUAUUACAGUCAAGUCAUUAAGACAAUAAACAGAACCUAGUGAAGCAUUUCUAAAAGCUUCCAGCUUAAUAGAUUUAGGUAUGCUUGAACAGGAAAGCAGGGACCGGUCCAGUCACCCUUUGUGUGUGUGAUAAAUAACAGCAAAAAUAUUUGAGUCUUUCCAUAUUUUAAGAUAUUUUCAAACUGUUCAUUCCCAAACUAAUGCCUCUCUACAUGAUAUAUACAGUGGCUGAUUUCCCAAUCUUACCACUCGUAAUAAGUUUGAGGAUCAUUAGAACAUAUAAAGAGGAAGACUUUUAAUAAAUCUAUUUUUGUUUCAAACUCCUCUUUCAAGCAUUUAUCAAGUUAGCAUUCUUACAGGAAGGAGAGAAGAUCUUCCUGCUAAUACUGACUCCAGCAACCAGUUGUGAUGGAUCAAGUGGAUUCUUGUUGCCUGCAUGAGUACCUGGAUUGAUUUUAUGGCUCCCAGCUUUGGCCCGUUCAAGGCCCAACCAUUGCAGACACUUACAGAGUAAGCCAGUGAUAGGAAUUUUCCCUCUUUUUUCGUUCCCUCCCCUUUUCAAAACAAA